UGUGGGAGCGAGCUUGCUCGCGAAAGCGGUGUGUCAGUUUGCGGUGAUGUUGGAUGUGCCGGCCCCAUCGCGAGCAAGCUCGCUCCCACA
This 90-nucleotide unclassified non-coding RNA is filed under the name Pseudomonas brassicacearum. The record is from RNAcentral. Lineage: Bacteria; Pseudomonadati; Pseudomonadota; Gammaproteobacteria; Pseudomonadales; Pseudomonadaceae.